RNAcentral lists this ribosomal RNA (609 nucleotides) under Lodderomyces sp. YS 83. RNAcentral describes it as "eukaryotic LSU rRNA". It matches the Rfam family "Eukaryotic large subunit ribosomal RNA", at positions 45 to 670 of the family's 3401-position model. The record is from RNAcentral. Lineage: Eukaryota; Fungi; Ascomycota; Pichiomycetes; Serinales; Debaryomycetaceae.
AAUAAGCGGAGGAAAAGAAACCAACAGGGAUUGCCUUAGUAGCGGCGAGUGAAGCGGCAAUAGCUCAAAUUUGAAAUCUGGCACUUUCAGUGUCCGAGUUGUAAUUUGAAGAAGGUAUCUUUGGGUCUAGCUCUUGUCUAUGUUUCUUGGAACAGAACGUCACAGAGGGUGAGAAUCCCGUGCGAUGAGAUGUCUAGAUCUAUGUAAAGUUCCUUCGAAGAGUCGAGUUGUUUGGGAAUGCAGCUCUAAGUGGGUGGUAAAUUCCAUCUAAAGCUAAAUAUUGGCGAGAGACCGAUAGCGAACAAGUACAGUGAUGGAAAGAUGAAAAGAACUUUGAAAAGAGAGUGAAAAAGUACGUGAAAUUGUUGAAAGGGAAGGGCUUGAGAUCAGACUUGGUAUUUUGUAUGUUACUCUCUCGGGGGUGGCCUCUACAGUUUACCGGGCCAGCAUCAGUUUGAGCGGUAGGAGAAUUGCGUAGGAAUGUGGCUCGGCCUCGGUCGAGUGUUAUAGCCUUCGUCGAUACUGCCAGCUUAGACUGAGGACUGCGGCUUCGGCCUAGGAUGUUGGCAUAAUGAUCUUAAGUCGCCCGUCUUGAACACCCGGACCAAA